AUAGCCUUUCGAAAGAAAGAUUAAUACCGGAUAGCAUACGAAUAUCGCAUGAUAUUUUUAUUAAAGAAUUUCGGUUAUCGAUGGGGAUGCGUUCCAUUAGUUUGUUGGCGGGGUAACGGCCCACCAAGACAACGAUGGAUAGGGGUUCUGAGAGGAAGGUCCCCCACAUUGGAACUGAGACACGGUCCAAACUCCUACGGGAGGCAGCAGUGAGGAAUAUUGGUCAAUGGGCGAGAGCCUGAACCAGCCAAGUAGCGUGAAGGAUGAAGGCUCUAUGGGUCGUAAACUUCUUUUAUAUGGGAAUAAAGUAUUCCACGUGUGGAAUUUUGUAUGUACCAUAUGAAUAAGGAUCGGCUAACUCCGUGCCAGCAGCCGCGGUAAUACGGAGGAUCCGAGCGUUAUCCGGAUUUAUUGGGUUUAAAGGGAGCGUAGGUGGAUUGUUAAGUCAGUUGUGAAAGUUUGCGGCUCAACCGUAAAAUUGCAGUUGAAACUGGCAGUCUUGAGUACAGUAGAGGUGGGCGGAAUUCGUGGUGUAGCGGUGAAAUGCUUAGAUAUCACGAAGAACUCCGAUUGCGAAGGCAGCUCACUAGACUGUCACUGACACUGAUGCUCGAAAGUGUGGGUAUCAAACAGGAUUAGAUACCCUGGUAGUCCACACAGU
RNAcentral lists this ribosomal RNA (661 nucleotides) under uncultured bacterium. RNAcentral's name for it is "bacterial SSU rRNA". It matches the Rfam family "Bacterial small subunit ribosomal RNA", at positions 143 to 803 of the family's 1533-position model. The record is from RNAcentral.